Molecule: long non-coding RNA, 287 nt
Filed under: Aquilegia coerulea
Lineage: Eukaryota; Viridiplantae; Streptophyta; Magnoliopsida; Ranunculales; Ranunculaceae
Description: long non-coding RNA (ACOE_LNC000551)
Source: RNAcentral
UUGAGGUAGAAAUUUAAUUGAAUGGAUUUGGUUGUUUGUUGAUUCCAUUGUUUUUUUUUUUUUUUUUUUUUGAAGGAGGGAAAACCUUUAUAAUUUUUCUGAUAUAACAAAUAAUGUAGAGAAUUGGAAUGCACCUAAAGCAUAUAUUUUGUUAUAUUUUGCUAAUUGGAUCGUAGUAUCAUUAGAACUGGAACUCUGACAGUGUCAGAAUUAUAAUGUUAGACGAUGAGAUGAGCCCUGCUGGCUGCUGUAGUCCUGUAGUCUGUACUUUAACAACAGUCGCGAUU